Molecule: ribosomal RNA, 211 nt
Filed under: uncultured bacterium
Lineage: Bacteria
Description: partial 16S ribosomal RNA
Rfam family: Bacterial small subunit ribosomal RNA
Source: RNAcentral
CAGUUCGGACUGUAGGCUGCAACUCGCCUACACAAGUUGGAAUUGCUAGUAAUCGUGGAUCAGCAUGCCACGGUGAAUACGUUCCCAGGUCUUGUACACACCGCCCGUCACACCAUGGGAGCUGGUAACACCCGAAGUCAGUAGUCUAACCGCAAGGAGGACGCUGCCGAAGGUGGGAUUAGCGACUGGGGUGAAGUCGUAACAAGGUAGC